Dipodomys ordii (Ord's kangaroo rat) is the source of this 117-nucleotide small nucleolar RNA. NCBI's taxonomy places the organism in Eukaryota, Metazoa, Chordata, Mammalia, Rodentia, Heteromyidae. The record is from Ensembl.
GUUCAUUGAAAAUCACCCCUAGCUUCAGCCAUGGAGAUUCGGCACCCACAGUGUCUAGGGCCUUAUACUCACUGCCCACUGCUGGUGUCGAACCAUGAAACCCAGGCCCCAACAGGC